CGGGCGGUAGCUCAGCCUGGUAGAGCUUCCGGCUGUAGACCGGAGUGUCGCAGGAGAGCUGUGAGGAUGAAAACCCCAGCUCGGCGAUUUCAAAUCCUGCCCGCCCGACCA
Molecule: transfer RNA, 111 nt
Filed under: Candidatus Bathyarchaeota archaeon
Lineage: Archaea; Thermoproteati; Candidatus Bathyarchaeota
Also listed under: 1 other name
Description: tRNA-Tyr
Rfam family: tRNA
About the family: Transfer RNA (tRNA) molecules are approximately 80 nucleotides in length. Their secondary structure includes four short double-helical elements and three loops (D, anti-codon, and T loops). Further hydrogen bonds mediate the characteristic L-shaped molecular structure. tRNAs have two regions of fundamental functional importance: the anti-codon, which is responsible for specific mRNA codon recognition, and the 3' end, to which the tRNAs corresponding amino acid is attached (by aminoacyl-tRNA synthetases). tRNAs cope with the degeneracy of the genetic code in two manners: having more than one tRNA (with a specific anti-codon) for a particular amino acid; and 'wobble' base-pairing, i.e. permitting non-standard base-pairing at the 3rd anti-codon position.
Source: RNAcentral